AGUGAACGCUGGCGGUAGGCCUAACACAUGCAAGUCGAACGGCAGCACAGUAAGAGCUUGCUCUUACGGGUGGCGAGUGGCGGACGGGUGAGGAAUACAUCGGAAUCUACUUUUUCGUGGGGGAUAACGUAGGGAAACUUACGCUAAUACCGCAUACGACCUACGGGUGAAAGCAGGGGAUCUUCGGACCUUGCGCGAUUGAAUGAGCCGAUGUCGGAUUAGCUAGUUGGCGGGGUAAAGGCCCACCAAGGCGACGAUCCGUAGCUGGUCUGAGAGGAUGAUCAGCCACACUGGAACUGAGACACGGUACAGACUCCUACGGGAGGCAGCAGUGGGGAAUAUUGGACAAUGGGCGCAAGACUGAUCCAGCCAUACCGCGUGGGUGAAGAAGGCCUUCGGGUUGUAAAGCCCUUUUGUUGUGAAAGAAAAGCAGCAGGUUAAUACCCCGCUGUUCUGACGGUACCCAAAGAAUAAGCACCGGCUAACUUCGUG
This 492-nucleotide ribosomal RNA is filed under the name uncultured bacterium. RNAcentral's name for it is "partial 16S ribosomal RNA". It matches the Rfam family "Bacterial small subunit ribosomal RNA", at positions 29 to 507 of the family's 1533-position model. The record is from RNAcentral.